GCCCCCAGGCUGCAGGUUCCCCAGGACAAAGAAUUUCUCAGAAUGUACCUCUGUCGUUAAGCAAAUCGUGGCUGUAGUUCUAUUAUCUGUAUCAUUCUGGGUUGAUUUUAAUUGAUUUUUCUUCAUCAUUAUAGGCCUGUUUUUCUAUUUCUUUAUAUGCUUGGUAAUUUUUGACUGGGUGCCAGCAAUAGUGAACUUUACAUUUUUAGGUGGUACAUAUUCUUGUAUUGUUGUAUGUAUACUUGGGCUUUGUUCUACGAUAUGGUUAAUUUACUUGAAAACAGGUGGAUUCUAUCAAGGCUUACUUUUAAGCUUAGUUAUGCAGGACAACAAACUCUAGGACUGAUGUUUUUUCCUUAGUAUGUAACACACUCCUGAGUACUCUACCUGGCGUCCCGUGUAUUACGAGGUUUUCAUUCUAGCCAACAGGAUCACCAACUAUUUCUGGAUCUCUGUGAGCUCUCAAGAUUGUUCCACCUAUUCCUUUUGAGUGGUUCCUUUUCCAGCUUCGGACAGUUUUCUCACCAGGGUAUGCUGAUCACUGCCUAGCUAAAGAAUCUCUGUUAAGUAAGCCUCAAUAUAUUUACAGCAUUUUAAAAAAUUAUAAUGACAGAAAUACAACUUAGAUUAAGUAAAAACAGAAAUAUUUGUUAGCUCAUAACACUGAAAAACCUAGAGACAGAACUGACUUGAGACACAGUGGAUGCAGGAGCAAAAGAGGUUACCUCUCUUGUGCUCACUCUUGCUCUUUCUUCGUGUAUUUCUUGUCUCAGGUUCUCUUUGCUUGAUGCUGUGUGAUUUCUUACUGGAGAUGGCUUCGUCCAAGCAGAGGGAAAGGUAGCCUUAAGCAGUGGCAGCUGAUAUUAUCAUCCUUCUAGGUCUUUCCCUAGGUCCAUAUAUCAAAUCUCCAGGGAGACGUAUUGGCCUGUCUGGGCCACACGUCCACUACUGAGCCAAACCUUGUGCAUGGGAGGAGUGUUCUGAUCGGCAAGAACAGGCUUAGCCCUACUUAAAACAUGUAAAAUGAAUUCCUUACAAGAGAGAACAGCUUUGUUACUGGAAGAUGUUGAAAGAAGAAUGUUAGGAAGACAAAUAUCAAUGAUCAAUACAUUCGGUUUCCUCAUCUGUAAAGUGGGUCAAAAAAAUCUAAAAUGUGAUCAUGUACUUAUCAGGUGCCUGGCCUUUAAUAAGGGCACAUGAAUGUGACGUUAUUACUGAAAAUCUGAACAUGGAGCCUCAGUUGUCAGUGAAUUCAUCCACUUCUCUGUGUCACUCAUCCUUAGUAAAAAAGUUUCUUCUUUGUCCUUCUGUGCCAAGAGUUGCUUGAAUUUCUUCCUUUGGGCUUCAGUUUCUGGGUAACUGAGUUCCUGACUGCAAUUUCUCAAAUAUACCUGUUUUUGCCUUGCCUAAGCAGAGAUCUUGUGUAAGCAUCAAAUUAGCAGCAGGAAACAGAUGGUCUAUUCUGGUUGGGUAAUUUGAGUAGAGUUUAAUAAAGGGAUUAUUUAUAAAGGUGUUGGCAGGUUAUAGGGAAAUCACAAGGGGUAGUGCAGUACCUGGGUACUGUCAUUCCAUGGGCCUGAUGGGACCAAGGACAGAAAGGUGACUGGAGCUGGAGACAAAGGGCAUGAGACAGAGGGCACUGGAUAGGAGCUGGGAUAUUCAGCCAGCCCAGAGUGACCCCAAAGGGGUGGGGGGAGCCAGCGAAUAGACACCCUGGCCUCUUGACCUCACCACCCUCCUCUCUCUGAUCGCCAGUGCUCCCCAGGGUCUGAAUCCAGCAGGAAGCUGUAGGGCAAAGGAGCCUGUUGUUAGCUUGGCCUCCUCUUUGGGGCACAGAGAAAGGUGACAAAGGGAAUAGAGUGAACUAGAAGAACAAAUGGAAAACAUCUGGCAUAUCCUAGAUCUUGGACUAAGUUUGGAUGCUUUUCCCAGGUGAAACAACUUAUUCCUGGUCCUAUCCAUACAACCUGCAUCUGUUUAGGAUUUCCCUGGUCUUGGGGUAAGUAACCCUGAAUUUCUAUAAGCUGGAAAGGGGGAAAAGAUUGCUAGCCACCCCCGAACCCCAGUCUGGUAUUUAAGAAAAUGCUGGCUGCAAGUGCCUAGAAAUUUGCAACCUGAUUACACGUUUUGUUCUUUAGUUGUGUGGAUCCUAGAUCCUGUCCCUUGUGUGGAUCCUAGAUCCUGUCCCUUGUGUGGAUCCUAGAUCAAACCAUUCCUUCAAGGGGACGGCUAUACUGUUUGACUGGUGAGAAUUAGCACCAAGAAAAGAGAGCUGUUACUGCCUGUGGAACCCGGUGCGAGGAGGCAGCUGGGGCUGGCUUUCAAGACUCACCUUUCAGCAUCUUCUCCAGAUAUAAAAUUCACCUCAUUUUUCAAAGUGCUUAGGGAGGAAGCCAAGGAUGUAGGGCAGGGGGAGUGAAACUUAAUAGUAAUAAUAAAAGAGGGAGAUGAAGUAAAAAACAGGUCACUGGGAAAAUAGAAAGUGAAGACAAGGGGACAGGGGAAGUAAUAACAAAGUGAAAAGCGAGGAGCCCUAAAGAUAAAUUGUCAGCUGAGAGCCACCUGCAGUCCUGCCAUUAAAGAGGUCUUAGUGCAGCCUUUGCGGUGGCCAGGGAACCAGAGGUCAAGCAGAUGCCCAGUUGACAUAGAGGAAAACGCAGACCUGGCCCAGCUACCUGCUCUUUGGUUUGAACCCUUCAUUUUGCUUUUGGAAACACCCUGGAAGCCACUUAGCCAAGGCAAAUGAGGAGCAAAGGAAGCCAGCUGUCUGGCAGCCCUGCACGGGCAGGGGGCUUUGCCCAGCCAUUUGAGAUGGGUGGGUGACUUUAGGCUGCCCCUCAAGGGAUGAUCCCAGUGGCCGUUUGAGGAUUUUGAAUAUGUUACCAAAUAUCUCCAAAGAAAAAAAAUCACAACCCAAGUGCCCCCUGACUUAACUUUAUGUUUAUUUUCACAGCCUUUGUCUUUCAGAGAUCAGCACUUUAUUGCUGUGUUGCUAUUGUAAGGAUGGAAAAAAUAGAACCAUUUUAAUGUUGUGCUGUUUGCAUUUCCCGACAGUUAAGAAGCAGCCCAUUAUUAGCUGGCAACACUGUUGUGACAUUAGUGGUGACUUCGCUGCUUGGGAUUCAGCUCAUGAAAUAUCUUCCUCCCUGCUUCCGGGCUCACAUCUAGACCGGUGGCUAUCUCUCAGAGGGAAGGCGCCCUUUUUCUCAAUGAAGUUUUGAAAACAGCCAGGGAAGGAGUCUGAUUGGCUGGCUUCAGAUCACGUGAUCGCCCUUUGACCAACCACAAUGGCCAACGGAGUGCGCAGCACUGAUUGACUUAGCUUGGGAAAAUCACAGACAGGGGCUUCCCAAGAGACUGUCUGCUGUUAGCCACUGUCUGCUCCUAACAGCUACAAGAGAUGCUCUUCCUCCCACAGCUGCGGCAGGGCCUGCUUCUGCAGGGUCUCCGAUGGGAAAGAACUGAGCUGUUUAGGAUUGAACUGCCCACCUACUGUUAAGUAAUGUUCUGUCUCUAGCACAGCAUUUCCACUCAGGAAAAUGUGCUGUGCACUUGGCGGCAGCGUUUACUACGCAUCUGCUUUACAAGCCUGUACUGCAGCUCCAAGGCCCAGCUCCAAACUGCUAUUGUGAAUAGUGCUGUUAUGAACAUGGGCAUGCAAAUAUCUCUUCGAGGCCCUGCUUUCAACCCUUUUGGAUAUAUACUCAGAGCCUCCGUUCUCAGAUUCUAAGGGAAGAGGCCCAGGGGAGUUCUGACCAGGGCUUUGCUGCUUACUUUCUUUGAACAUCAGUGGUCCUUCGUUGCAAAGUGGGGUUUUGUUCCUGUUCUUUCUUCAGAAGGGCUGGUAUGAGGAUCCCUCAGCUGAGGACCAAGAAAAAGAGUUCUGUAGACUGUACCGUGCGAAUCAAGUGCGAGCAUAUGACAGACUGGACGUCAGGACGGAGCUGACAUCUCUGCUCCUUUGCUGACAGGAGAAACAGAAAGGGAGAAAUUGGACUUCUCUUAGUUCCCCAGGAUAGGCCCAAGUGCACUCUAAAUAGCCCACCGCUCACACUCCCUGGGAUCCCAGGAGGAAGGACCGAGGCCACACGGAUGACCUUGGAGAGCUGGAGAAACCUACAAAAGCAGAGAUGAGAAAACCUCCAGGCGCAGAACUGAGGUGGACACGCCGCGCUCCGGAGUUGUUUGUUUACGGCUGGCGACCAUCUGACUGGUGCUCAAGGACGCCGAACGCAACCCCUGGAGACCAGAGACCAGCGAGAUAGCAUAACUUCCUCUGGAAGAAGAGACCCUGCAAGGCACGAGGACAUCGCUAAAGAUGGCAAGGAAGCACGACAACACCACAGCUGAGGCCUUCCUCUCUGCCUUUCCUCCUUGAUUUUCCGGUCGUGCUCUCUGUCUGGAUAGGGAGUGGUAGGAGGGGGAAGGCUCUUGUCAAGAAGAGUGAGUGACAGCAGAGCUGAGGGGGCCUGGUUUCUUAGAGAUUUGGGGAGUGUGGGAGAGAUCCCCGAGACAUUUCUCUUCUCUCCCCUUCUCUUAUCUUCACAGAAUAGCAUCCAGGGUUGCAAAUUCCAGGGGCAUUGCCCUUGUUUCUAGAAACAUGCCUUCAGCUCUCCAGGAGAAAGUAGGACAGCAUGGGGCCUUGGCAAAGGCCUCAAGGUCCUGGUUGUUUUGAGGGACAGCUGUCCUUUGGCUGUUCUCUGUUCAGGCCAGCUCACUGCAGGGAAAAUCAGACAGAGCUUGGGCAGAGUGCAGGACUGAUGUUCCCUAGGCAAGAGUAACCGUUUCUCUAGAACCAUAAUCCAUGGGGACCUUCUAUGUGCCGCUGGGUCGGAGGAGACGCUUAUAUGGCUGAAGAGAAGGGACACUUCAUAGAUCGUCCCCUUGGUCAGAUCCUUUCUUCAUGGCAUUACCUGUGGCUCCAGGCAGACGGGCUGCCCAGAGCCGGACACACAGAGAGGGCUCAGACCCUCCGACUGCCAUGGGACUGCCGGGCCAUGUGCGACGUGAAAUAUAGCAGGACACGCGCAGGCAAGCUGUCUACUUAAUGAGCCUCUAAAUUAAAACCAUAUUCCACAUCGAGUGUGAUAAUUGCCUUGUCUUUAGGGUCUGUGUCUCGCUGACCUGGGCUGACGGAUUUGCGCCCACACAGUCGACUCUUAGGGCCAGGAAUGGAGAAGUGUAGAGGGGGUUAGUUUUAAGAAGCAACUUUUGGAUGUUUUUGCUUAUUUUUGCCUUGCAGGGUAGGUUUCAUGUUUGAAGAUGAGGUUUCUGACCCACAGGAGGGGCGGAGGUGCUCAGAGUGGUCUUCUGCGGAGUGGGGGUGGGUGUGCAUGGAUGUGUCCAUCUCCGGUUUGGUCCCUGCGUGGUGCGAGAGUCAGGCCACCCUAGGAGCGCCAGGAAGGCUCGCCAGGGGCUGGGCCAGCCCAGCGCGCUCAGAGGCCCAUACCCGCUCACCCACCCUCCUCCUGCACAGCACUCUCACUUGCAAGAAAGUCAAUAGGAAAUAAAGUUUAUCUUAAACAAGACAUCAUUGCAAAUGGUUCAACCGUAGAGUAAGUAACAAAGACAAUUUCUUUCCAAAUAUUUAGGGAUAUUAAACUAAAUAUUUAGUUUAAACGAGUAAUAAACUAAAUGCACUGCUCUCAGAUCAAAGGAGCACUUCUUACCUGAGUUACUUGUAAUUAGAUUUUUUUUUUAAAAUAAUGAUUGCUUAAGAAAAUAAUGUUUCCUUUGAAGCAGAUGCUGUGUUGACUGGUAGUCACAUUUCCAGAAUCUUAGACAUUUUAUUAUAAUAUCACUUUAGGUAAUUAGCUGCAUUGCUAUAAUUUCCAGCUACUGUGGCUUUGAGUUCCAUCUGGCUGCCAUGGAGAUACCGGCCUCACAGGAAACUUGCUGAACAGCCAAUAUGUUGAAAGCCUCGACAAGGCCACAGAAUCACAGUGUGUGGGAUACUCCUUGCUGCAAGUACAGCGACCAUAUAAUUUAUUGUCCAAAUGGGGACGCUUUUGAGACUAAAAAGAGGCACAAUUAAUAUUAAUAAUUACUCCAGAAAACAUGUAAUCUGGGGCCUCCUUAUCUGUAUGGCAAGCUUUUUCUUCAAAAACCUUUCACAAAAAGGAGACAUAGAUACAAAAAUAGGUACAGAUAUAAAUAGCAAUAUUAUUCAAGUCCUCAUGGAGUUUCUUAUAUUCUAGGUCAUUCCAAGGUCCUUUUUUAAAAAAAAAACAAAACAACAAUAACAAAACACUCUUUAGAAAAGAUAUGUUUCCUGAAAUGAUCCAAUCACUGCUAGUUUUACAUUUUCAUGUAGAGCAACCAAUGAAGAUUAGCUUUAAAAAGGAGACAUAGAAAUUUGACACAGAUUCAGCAAUUAUUCCUUAGGGUAUUCUGUCAAACUUCAGGAAAGCAGUUGUAUUGUCAUUUUGUAGGAUGAACGGAAACUCUACUGCUAUGAGAGUUUAUGAUUUCAAAAAGUGCUGUGUGUCGAACAACUGAAGAGUGAAGAUGCUCUGGACAACUUGAUAAAAGUUCAAAAAAAUUGGCCAUUGUGAUGAAAGAGACAAUGAA
Molecule: non-coding RNA, 6570 nt
Organism: Microcebus murinus (gray mouse lemur)
Lineage: Eukaryota; Metazoa; Chordata; Mammalia; Primates; Cheirogaleidae
Source: RefSeq, a predicted model, not a curated record